GAUGAACGCUAGCUACAGGCUUAACACAUGCAAGUCGAGGGGUAACAAGAGAAAAGCUUGCUUUUCUUGUUGACGACCGGCGCACGGGUGAGUAACGCGUAUCCAACCUGCCUAUAACUAGGGAAUAACCUUGCGAAAGUAAGACUAAUACCCUAUGAUUUCCUUUGAUGACAUCAGAUUAGGAAUAAAGAUUUAUCGGUUAUAGAUGGGGAUGCGUCUGAUUAGCUUGUUGGCGGGGUAACGGCCCACCAAGGCAACGAUCAGUAGGGGUUCUGAGAGGAAGGUCCCCCACAUUGGAACUGAGACACGGUCCAAACUCCUACGGGAGGCAGCAGUGAGGAAUAUUGGUCAAUGGGCGGAAGCCUGAACCAGCCAAGUAGCGUGCAGGAUGACGGCCCUAUGGGUUGUAAACUGCUUUUAUACAGGAAUAAAGUUAGCCACGUGUGGUUAUUUGUAGGUACUGUAUGAAUAAGGACCGGCUAAUUCCGUGCCAGCAGCCGCCGCAG
This 506-nucleotide ribosomal RNA is filed under the name uncultured bacterium. Its description in RNAcentral is "partial 16S ribosomal RNA". It matches the Rfam family "Bacterial small subunit ribosomal RNA", at positions 28 to 523 of the family's 1533-position model. The record is from RNAcentral.